RNAcentral lists this unclassified non-coding RNA (346 nucleotides) under Melitaea cinxia (Glanville fritillary). RNAcentral describes it as "misc RNA ENSMCXG00005000068.1". Lineage: Eukaryota; Metazoa; Arthropoda; Insecta; Lepidoptera; Nymphalidae. The record is from RNAcentral.
GUACUUCUUAAGUUAGAUAGGUUAGGGUUAUUUUUUUUUGUUAAACGAAACUGUCGUUAAACGUACUUUUUAAGUUAGAUAGGUUAGGGUUAUUUUUUUUUUUUUUUGUUAAACGAAACUGUCGUUAAACGUACUUCUUAAGUUAGAUAGGUUAGGGUUAUUUUUUUUUUUUUGUUAAACGAAACUGUCGUUAAACGUACUUCUUAAGUUAGAUAGGUUAGGGUUAUUUUUUUUUUUUUUUGUUAAACGAAACUGUCGUUAAACGUACUUCUUAAGUUAGAUAGGUUAGGGUUAUUUUUUUUUUUUUUUUUUUGUUAAACGAAACUGUCGAUAAAUGUUUAAUUAA